RNAcentral lists this long non-coding RNA (1452 nucleotides) under Equus caballus (horse). RNAcentral's name for it is "lncRNA (ENSECAG00000046023.1)". Lineage: Eukaryota; Metazoa; Chordata; Mammalia; Perissodactyla; Equidae. The record is from RNAcentral.
UCAAUAAAUGAGAUAGAGAAGCAAUGGAAUAGAAAAUUCAAAUGCAUAUGCGAAGGGAGUUGAUGAUAAACAUGGAAUUUCAGAUUGCGGUGAAAAGAAUUUUUCAAUAGUAUUAGGACCACACUUGAGUAGCCAUUUGGAGAAAUUAAAAAAAGGCCUUUAGCAUCUGGAGCCCAGGGGACAGGGAGGAGAGGCAGCCGAAGAGCCCUGCCCAGGGAGGCAGAAGCUGGAGUUGUUCAGGGGGAUCCUGGGAGUGGGCUGAGUGCCGGGAGGGGCCAUGCCUGUGGCUACAGACACAGCUGAUGUGAAUUACAAGCGAGGACAGUUGGACCAGCGACCCAGAGAAAAAAGAUCCUCUUUUUCAAAGAGCCAGGAGGGAAAUAGCUGAGGCUGGGACUGAGAAGGAAAGGAAGGGAGGUCUAGCCAGAAAGGACAGUGGGACUGAGGACCCAAUGGUAAGAGAGGGAGCCUGCCAGCCCCGGCUUGGUUCCAGGCCCGACAGUGAGGGAGCCUGCAGCUUCCUGGUGCCUGGUCCUCACCCUGUGGUAAAGGCCUCUGAACAGCUGACUGUGGGUGUGGCCCUGAGGAGAACCCCAGGGAAGGAGCUGGAAGGAGUAAGAGCCAGGAGAGAUUAUGGGCCCAAGGAGACCCUCUCCCUUCUUCUCUGUGGAAUGACAGGCUGUGGCAGAGACAGGAGAGGACAGUGGUCAAGAGCUCAAAUACAAUCGGACAGAACCGGCUGUUCCUCCAGUGCAGGAGGAGUUGUGUGGCCUUGGGCAAGUUUCUCAACCUCUCUGAGCCAGUUUCCUCAUCCCUUGAGUCUGAUCCCAAAAACCCCACAGUAUUAAUCACACUGUCCCCUGGGGCCAUCUUCACCGCCAGGACCUGGCAGAGAGAAGCCAAGAGGAUUAAGGCAGGACAGUCACAGACAGAAGCCCCCUGGCCACGGAUGGGCCCUGGAGGGCAGGAUCCUGAACUGGCUUGAAGUCUCCCACCCCCUUGAACAAAGGAGAGGAGGCCCCUGAGUUAGAAGCACAGCUGGGAUGGAUUAUAGGUCUCGGGACUCCUGCUGCAGUGCUCCCUCCACAAUAGGUCCUCAGGGAAUCUGUGCUUUUCAGAUACAGGCCCCAGGAGACCAGCCUUUCCCUCUUGGCUUUACCACCAGAAUAUCCAGAAUAAGUAAAUCCAUAGAGACAGAAGGUAGAUUGGUGGUUGCCUGAGCUGGAGAAAGGUGGGAAUGGGGAGCAACUGCUUAAUGGGAAGGGGGUUUCCUUUUGGGGUGAUAAUGUUGGAACUAGAUAGAGGUGGCAGUUUCACACAUUGUUAAUGUGCUAAAUGCCACUGAAUUUUUCACUUUAAAAUGGUUAAUUUUCUGUUACAUGAAUUUCACCCCAAUUUAAAAUAAGGGUACCUGUAGUUAAGAGAUUAAAGGGAGAAGAGUGGGUAAGUGCC